UUAUGGACUCCACUACACUGCUGUCUGUGGUGGGCGGGGCUCUCCUCCUGUCAAUCAUCCUUGUAACCAGUCUUUGUACAUACUGCUGGGGACAUAGACAACCAACAUCCAUCCAUCAGAGGUCCAGUGACUCAGAAUACCCCCCAACAUCAGGUUUUGUGGUUCGGCAUCCCGUGUCGACAUAUGCGCCCCAUAUGGACCAUACCAGAAUUGUACCUUACCAACAUUCCAAUUCUCUUGGUUCACCAUCUAUCACUGUCACAAAGGUGCACUCCUGUCCUCCCUCAGAAACUGGAAGUCAAGCCAGUUAUGUGAAUCAAAACGGUGAGGAGGGAAUCAACAUUCAUGACAAUCAUCAUGAGAGUGGCGAUGAGCGGAGCAAUCGGCCUCAAAGUGAAUACAUAACUGUUCUUCCUGAUCCCCCAAUCACACAGUCGCAGGGACCCAGCAGAGCUUCCUCCCUGAGCUCAGGAGAAUGUUACAUAAAUGUAGAAAAAGAUGAGAAUGUGUCUGAAGAAGAUCAAUGCGACAACCAGACAUGCGUGGAUGAAUCAGACUCAGACAUGCACGAUUAUGAAAAUUUCUGUAAUUCUUCAGGCCUCAGAAAAAAAACCUAUAGUCUGUCCCGUGGAAGUCAAAGCAGUGAUGAACGGGAGAGCUCUGAUUAUGUCAACACAGGCCCUAGUUUACAAUAAUCAAG
Molecule: long non-coding RNA, 700 nt
Organism: Cyprinus carpio (common carp)
Lineage: Eukaryota; Metazoa; Chordata; Actinopteri; Cypriniformes; Cyprinidae
Source: Ensembl